Triticum aestivum (bread wheat) is the source of this 331-nucleotide long non-coding RNA. RefSeq lists it as uncharacterized. The transcript is spliced from 3 exons. The record is from RefSeq and is a predicted model, not a curated record. NCBI's taxonomy places the organism in Eukaryota, Viridiplantae, Streptophyta, Magnoliopsida, Poales, Poaceae.
CUCUUCCGAUCUGCUAGAUCAGAUAUGAUCUCUUUAAAUUCUGAAAUAUGAUUCAAAACAUUACCUCCCUCAGGUAACCUGUGCAGGAAUCAUUUUUGUUUCAGAUGCAUCUUGCUGGUGAGAUCUUUAGUCAUGCAAAUCCCUUUCAGCUUUAACCAUAGAGCAGCGGCAGUUUUCUCGCUCAAAACUUCCUGCAAAAUAUUAUUAUGCAAAUGGAGUUGAAUUUGUGGCAAAGCCUUACAAUCAAUUCUUUUCUCAUCAGCAGUCCAGUCCUCAAUUCGGUUCUUCCCAAAACUAUCCAGUGCUACAUCAUAGUCGGCCUGUGCCAACA